Molecule: long non-coding RNA, 598 nt
Organism: Quercus lobata
Lineage: Eukaryota; Viridiplantae; Streptophyta; Magnoliopsida; Fagales; Fagaceae
Exons: 3
Source: RefSeq, a predicted model, not a curated record
CAUAUGUUUUGAAAUAGUUUGAACUAUGGUGAUGAGUAAUAAAUUGUAUAGAGUGGGAAGGAAAGUCUACACAUAUGUUGUGAGAUAGUUUGAACUAUGGUGAUGAGUAAUAAAUUGUAUAGAUCGAUACAAUUGUGGCUUUAGAGUAGCGUAGUGGAAGCGUGAUAAUUGGUUCAGUUUGUGAUGAAUUCAGAGGACUGAAUUCUUAUAUGUGGGGGAGAUUGUAAUACCCGGAAAAAAAAAAAGGAUUUAAAAGGAAGGGUAUUUAAGUAAAUUUGUUUAUGGGGUCAAUUGUUAUAAUUAACAUUGCUAAGGGGUUUUUUAGAAAAUAAGGUUGAAACCCUAGCUAUAAAUAUAAGUUUAUUAAGUCAAUGUAUAUGGAGAGAUAUUUUGAGAGAGGAGACUACCCAGAAGACUGAAGUAGAGAAUGAUUGACAAUGCCUUUGAGGUGAUGAUAUUUAAGGAUUUUUAGAGGAAGUGUUAGGGUGAAGUUUCUUUUGGUAUGGCUUUUGGAGAUUAUGAAGAAUAAUAAGUUUUAGGAGUUCUGAUGUUGUGAAGUGAGCGGGAAAAGAAGUUUAGUGAUUUUGGGAUUGAAUGG